Molecule: unclassified non-coding RNA, 345 nt
Filed under: Hevea brasiliensis (rubber tree)
Lineage: Eukaryota; Viridiplantae; Streptophyta; Magnoliopsida; Malpighiales; Euphorbiaceae
Source: RNAcentral
GGAUGGAGGAGAAACGGAUUAUGAGAAAGGAGGAGAAAUGCAUUUUGAGAAAGGCGGAGAAGUGGUGGUUAGCACUUUGGAGGAGGAGAAGCAGGUUUCUGGGUUGUUUGAAAGGGCUUAUGGAAAGAUCUCAAAAGUAUGGGAGCGCCCAAUCUCGUUUCUUCUUAAGCUCACAAUUCCACAAACUGCUCCUUCAGAAUGGAGCAGGUUCUACGUAUCUGCCAAUAUAAUUCUUUGUCCUCUAGCACUUCUAUAUACUUGCAACUCAUUCAUGCCGUUAGAUCAUCCCAUAGUGUUCCUCCUUCCAAACACUCAUUUCCCACUCUGGUUCAUAGUACUCCUGGC